Molecule: long non-coding RNA, 7530 nt
Filed under: Varroa destructor (honeybee mite)
Lineage: Eukaryota; Metazoa; Arthropoda; Arachnida; Mesostigmata; Varroidae
Description: uncharacterized LOC111250355
Source: RNAcentral
UUAUUUGCUGAUCUUCCGUUCUUUUUUUGCCCGUCAUACCUUUCUCGCGUUCUUUUUCUCAGUUUCUUUUACCCUUAACUUCCUUUCUCUCGCUUUCAUAAUCCGAUAAUGAUGUUUAUUUUUUGCAAUACACUUUUUUUUUUAACAUUUCCGUCAUUAUCACCGUCAUUAUUAGUAAGCCUUGGAUGUUUUACCGUGUACUACUCCUUCUAAUAUAGUUGUUGCUCUCGGCAUUUUUUGUUAUUGUUGCCUCUUGCGCAAACUGUGUUUCGACAUGAAAUGUUAUCACACAUACGAUACUCUAGUGCCUAGGUUGGUGAAAAAAGAUAUAUGUACGUGUGUGUAUCUCAACCCCGCCGGUGCGUGUCAAGCUUCCAGUGUGUAACGAUCAUCAUUAUCAUAUUCAAAGUAAUUGUAAUUUUUUUCGCGUAACAUUUUUUAGGUUAUCGUAAUCUGUAUCAUUUUUUGCUUUUGUGACGCUCGCACUCGUGUCUUUAUCGACCACGCAACUCUGCUAUCUGCAAUGUUCCGUGUACUCAUUUAAUGUAUAGUUAUUAAUUAUCCAGGAUGUGUAUAAUAUGUGCUUAUAUAUAAUAUAUGGAUUAUCAUUGGCGUAUCUGAUCCAAAUAUUGCUUCUCCGUAUGUUCCGCUUCUAACGCUAUCUAACUAGAUUCCGACAAGAAUUAUGAAAAUACGAUAAAAUUGUACUAGCCCAUUUUUUCUGUUCUGCAGAGGGACCAAAACAACCGAGACAGCUUCGUUUGCAAAAACAAAAUCUCCUAAUUACAUUUUAGUUUCCACAUUACUGGCCACGGAUGGUAUGGUCAUGCUCAUAUUGUUACGUGUCGUUUCAAGAUAGGGUCAAAACUCUUCAAACUACCAAACUGCUCCUUGCAGCGGUACCAAGCAAGAGCAUGUAUGUAUACGUUGGUCGUAAACGUAUCGAUGUCUAUAAACAUGUGUGUGUUUACUGGGUCGAGCUCGUCCCAAGCAAAAUACAAAUAAGGUAAGAUUACGGUUCCAUUUGGUGGCCUCCAUGACGCAAAAGCCCCAUCACAACUCCUCCACGCGUAACCUUAUCAUAUCAUUGAAGUUCUCGAUCGGCUUUACGUACGCAAAUCACCAAACAGUUUCGGCCAAACUUAGUCGAUGCUACCGCACACGAAAUUGCAGAACAUUGGCGUGGUAAAGUAGACAUAUUGAUUUCGAUACUCGAGCUAGCUGGUCCGACCAUUUCGAAACGUACGCUCCCUUUUCUAAUUUAUAGAUCUGUCGCUACGUAAUUAUAUCUCGGCUUUCAGUCUUUCGUUCGAUACUAGGGUAUAUUUGUGUUUUAUAUAGUCGGCUUGCCGAAUAUCGUUUCCCUUUCUAUGAUCGAAAGACCGCUUCCUUCGCUCCAUAACGCCUGUAAAAGUGGCACUGCUCCUUCGAAGUAUGCCAUUUUCCAGCAGCGUACGAAGCGCCACCUGUCUUGUUAGCGCGACAACGAUUCAAGAUCUCCGAGAUGUGAUAUUGUGUUGCAGCAUGUAGAACUGUCGAAAACCAUUUUUUCUAAUCUACUUAUGAAAGUGCUUGAUAAUAGUUAUCAUUGUAUUAUGAGCACGAUAGAAGGAAUACAAGGAGGAAAAAUAACGCAAGGUAACAAAGCACAACUUCCGGAGUGCACUCAUCUGUUUGCCACAAAUCAGCGGCUUUUCUGAUAACAACUUCUCUGUCUUCAUCGAUUUUCGCUCGCGAAAGCACUAUUCUGUUUCGGGCUUACCCGAACCAAUUUCUUAUCGUGACCCUCGGUAACGUCUCGUCCUAUAAAUUUAGUUAGUAAUCAUACUGUAUAGCAACCGUCACCACUCGAUCAUUGAUACAUGACAUAAUCUGCAAUAUAUCCUUCUUCGACUCAAGGCCGUCGGCCAUAAAAAUAUUUCCGAAAUGACUAGAUUGUUUUUUCCUCAUAUCAAUCUUCUCUAAUACAUAGUGUUCUGCCUAUAUAGAGACCUCUAUAUAUAUAUGCAAGCGCUGUUGUUUGUGACUCGACUACUUUCGAAGUUAAUUUUCUUUAGCUGCAUAACUAUGAGGAUCACCAUUAUACUUUUUACUAAUUUCUGUUAGUUUCUUUUUACAAUCUGAGAUACAUUUGAAGUCGUUUCUGCUCUGGCUCUUCUUGCUAUUACUCAGUAAGUAGAGACUGUUAUCGUGUCGCUGGGCUUACCCUCGCCACCCACUCAGCCACCCAUCCACCCACUCAUUCACGUCAUUCAUCGCUUUGCGUUCGGCAUUCACUAUGUUUUGUUCUUGCUGAUACUCGUGCUAGAACGGGGGCGUCCCUAUUUUUUUUUUCUAGUGUCUGCAACCUCUUCAUGCUGUAAUAAUUAAUAGCGAUGUUGCUUCUUUAUAUAUAUUCAUCCUGUAAUGCUUGAUUUUAUCGCUUCCUCUUUCGUCGUGUUUACGACAAAUGUUGGGUAGCUUUGUCUGCAUGAAGGGGAAACUUAUAUCUAGUGCCGUCAAUACAACCAGCGUGACGGUGCUUUAAAAUUUUCGUUGAUGCUGUGCUAUCAGUUGAUAUUCCUAAUCGCCCUACGCUUGCCUCAACACAAUAUUGAAAAGAUCAUGUAUAUAUAUAUGUGUGUGUGUGUGUGUGUGUGUGCAUAUACAUGUAAACACUAGCGCUCGACUUUAACGUUUCGCCAUUUUCGAUGACAUACCUAACAUUAGGUGUAGAUGCAUUACCAUUGGAUUUCUAGAAGUUGGUAUUUACAGAAGUAUUUAUGUGUAUUGUAGAUUAUCACUUAAAUUUCGCCAGUGGUUAUAAAAUUUUGUGCCGGGUAGGCUUAGAUAUGCCGAGGGUAUCGAAAUCCCUGAAAGAAUACCACCACCGAGAUACGAGCCACUGGUAAAAUGCCGUCCACGUUCGCACCAUUGUCAUCCUAACACCCUUCGAAAUAGGAAAGAUUUUGAUUUAUUUUGAACGACGAUGUAGAGGGCGCGCAUUUACUUGACAGGCAAUUGUGUCCUUAACUGUUCAUGCUGAAAGUAACAUAUCCUAGCAUUAUGCAUGCUAUUAUAAGCCAUAGACGCACGCAUGCCUUAUUGCUAGGUAGCAUAAACGAACUUGGCAAAAAAUCCGUGAGCACAGACUGCAUACGCCCGUUGGUAGAGUUUCUCACGAUCCACUCUACAGUCGGUGAGCAAGGUUUAGGCGCGAUCGCUUUCCGAAAACAAUACACGUUUAAGUAGAUUUCCAACACAGGGCGGAUUUCUGCGUAGAUCGUACGUUAUCGAGUCGGCUUACGUAUAAUACGUGUAGUAAUAGCCUGUCGACAGACUCCUAUGGUUCGCCCUCAAUGGUUUACCAUCAAACCUUAUGGACAAAUAUUAUUUAGAAGCUGGCGUGGGUACAUCCGGACAGGCCUAAAUGGCCGACUCAACGGCCAUUUCCUCUUAAUUCAUCUCUAGUUUCUCACAUGCUUACCUUCGUUCUCCCCGAGAUUACAGCCUCACGUAAUUACGGCAUUGCUGCUUUCAAACGCACACUGCAUUUGGGCUAUAAGUAAAUAAGCCAUUGAUACGAAAAACACAGUGACAGCAGUUACAAUGUACGCGAGAUCUUGCAUUUUUCUUCGUUCGUUUCGCCUGCUGUUGCUAUCGCUGAACUGAGCGUUACAAAGCGCUGCGCUUCGUUUGUUACUUGACAGACUUCGGCAGGAAAUGGCGAAGGCACGCCGACGUCCAACCGUUGUUAGCAUCUGCCAACAAUUGCUAGAAGCUACGAAAAGAUGGACGAAGGAACUCGCAUUGCUCAUCAAUAUUCUCCACUAUUCUACGUUCUUCCCAGCGCCACACCCUAACAACCAGGCAAACCUCGGCGCCCAGCAACCAAUCCAUUGAAGACAGGAAAAUAUCGAUUUGUGGCGUCAUCUAGCCAAUGUCGGCACCUCCCCAUCUACCCGGCGUGAUCUUCCUUACUCUCAAAACGCUUAACUCUCAGUAGCGUCGGGAACUCGAGCAGCAACGAUCGCAGCGCUUCUCAUAACGCCAGAAAUGGCAGAAGCUAUUCACAUUCAAAUUUCUAUAUUAGAUUUUUCGGUCCGCUUUUGCAAGCGUCUCUCUAGAGCUGGUACUAACGCCAUCGUUACUGCUCGUACGGCCUCAACAUUGGCGAAUUCUGGCAAAAAUCAUUGCGGCUGCUGGUGCUGCCAUUACUGCCGUCUCCCAUCCCAUACAGCUGAGAGCCAAGUCCGACGGAGUGGUUAUGACUGGAGUCAGUCCCUGUUUUAAAAUAAUGAGUCGUUGUUGUUGACCGACGGAGGCUUCUCGUUUGCGCUUUCCUUCUCUCCGGCAUGGCUGGGUCCUCUGGCGCUUUGCUGCCAUCUUUGCGUCCCUUUUGGGGCGCUCUCGGCGGCCAGUCGAUCACUGCCGGGUUCACGCUUCAGACUGACUAAAGACACCGACACAAACGUUACCGUGGUAUGCCAUCACACAUCUUCUCACUACUCCCAGGAUAAUCCCUUAACCAUUUACCAGCCCGAUAGCCUUAUGCAGACACACUUCGUCGCCUGCUGCAUCACUUUGUUGCCUUUGUAACUAUCGUGGCACCACCGCUAAUCUAAUCAUCGACUGGUAGUUAUAAUAACUCAAAUCGUGCAGCCUUAGACACUUCCGGUCAUCAGCGGCAAUGUGCACGGAAAGCCGAGCGUAACAAUGUACAAAAGCCGUAAAGCAAAACGCACUAAGCAUGGGCAAUACAGAAUAUUAGAAACUUAAAGCAGAAAAGCGGAAUUAUUCCGCGAUUCUGAUACAUUAGUCUAUUGCCAGUUGUUUUCCACAUUAUACAGUUUUACGUCUCGCUGGCGACAAACCGAUUGCCGAAAAUGUUAUAAUAAUUGCCGGAUUAGCUAUAGUGUACUAUCUAAACGCGCCGCACCUUGAAAGUUUGCCGACAGAUAGAUGGACGAAUGAGUAAAAGAUUAGCUGGCCUAAUAUUAUAAUCCUACUUUGCCUUUUCUCUAUAAUACUGUCGUGUGUUUUUAAUCGCGUGAGCGGCGUACCUUGCGUGGCCUGGAGAAGCCCGCUGAGAAAGCGGUGAUUAAUCAGCAAUGAGCAUUGUCCAACUAACAACGGUUCACCUACGGAUCCAUAUCUAGCGUCGAUCCGUCCUUUUCGUUUCCCUAGCUUAGGCUGAAGGGCAGAUGAAUAAAGAUGCGAGAAGCUGUGUGUUGCAACAGAAUGAGCGAGCGACGCUUUGUGGGCAGAUCCCUUUGUCCGAGUCCAAAGAUCUCCACCCGUCCCAUUUUCCCGUCCCUACCACAAAAGCCACCUGCGUGCCCUCUGCUAGUGGGAAUAGAACUGGUAGCUUUCAAAGCUAACUACACCGUGAGCUACUCUAUGUUUCGAUGGAGUUCCUUCUAGACGAAAAGAUGCAUUGAUCUGAUAGUAACUGGUUGUUACGUCAGUGUCUACCUAGCAUGUCUCCCGGGAUCCAAAGAAACCGUAUGAGUGCUAUGGCGACACUUUUCGCCGUGGUGAUUGGCGACAUUCAGGAAUUCGUUGUUAAGUUCCGAGUUUAACUGAUAAUGAACCCUCUAGGUUAUACCUCGAGUUCUGCAAAAGCAGCUGGAAAUAGUGUUAAAGAAGGCCCUCAUCAGUUUCUUGUAUCAACAUUUACAACGGUCUUCGUGUUUGUGAGUUUAUGUAGAACUCCUCGGUCGCAUCGUCAUUGUUGGAGUAAACAGCAUUUGCGAGCUUCGACGUCGCAGUUGUCGCUUGCUAUGUUAGCACAUACGGGUGGCGUCUACGUUUCCGGGUAAGAAGAUAGAAUAAGAAUUAAAUGAAGACAUACUAGGACAUAUUGCAAGGGACAGCAGGACCACCUAUACCGAAUACGUGUUAGUUCUCCUGCAAAAAUCUGAGAUUGUAGUCUAAUUCUAAUUCACAAACAUAGCGUCACUUGACGGUCCACUGUUCACUGUUGUUAUCUGUUUUAUUCAACGGAAUAGGUUUAUAGCUGAUCAAGAGUUCAGAACCGCAAGAGAUGGCGCUUAAAGAUGUGUCCACGAUGUAGGUACAUCUUUUUUUUUGGAAAUGUUUCCUUUGUCUUGACAAAACAACGCAUCUGUGUUGAGAUAUAUUCACGCUGCUCGUCCCUACGAUCAGCGUUUUUCUUUGCUAAAUAGAGAGAGAGACGAAAGUAAAAAAUUGUGUUAUUCUCUAAGUUUCAGCCCUACCAUGUGUAAGGAUAGAAUUAUCCAGCCUGCUUAGAGACCAAAAUGUUCCGCUUUCAUAGGAAUACAUUAAGCGCAUGUAGCCAAUCAAUCAGUCUCCUGCUAUCGCCUAUUUGUUCCCUGCUGAUAGCAUAGUUCAAUUUCAUUUCACCACCUUUUACGUGGUCUUCAUUGUUGAGAUCAUUUGAGAAAAGUGUCGUUAAUGUUUGUGAUUUUAAUAUUGUAGCAUUUUCUUGGAUACGUUUUCAACAAUGGAAAGUCUAUGUCCGUGUUCUACAAUGCUCAAUUCGAUCUUCGACCAAAUCUAUCUGCAACAGCUAUUUUCUGUGUGCCCCACUGUGUAUAUAUCUGCACAGUGAACUGAGGCGUUCCUCUGAUGCCCUUAUUAUGUCCACAUCGCCGAAUCUAUAUAUAAUCAUACCUUGUUUCUCCGUCGUACGUAAUUCCCCUUUGACUCGCGUUAGAUUCGCCGUUAUAUCGUAGCGUCAUUAGCGUGUUGUUUUUUCUACUGUGAAGGGGUGUGCUACCAUGACAGUCUUCGUAAUACCCAAAUGUUUAAAUAGGAGCAAUUUUCUCUUGCCUAUUAAAAAGUUACAUCAAUUGAGUUAUCUCUUCCUUUUCAUCUCCUGGUAAGUAACGUGCAUAGCAGAUGCGUUGUAGUCCGUUCUCUUCAUAUUUAUAUAUAUUCGCCGUAUUGUAUGUCAAUUGUGAUCUCCGUUGAUAAAUGUUGGUGGUUCACCACAAUGACUCUCGCACCCCCGCCUCCUCUUUUUCAGCCUCUCUUGUCUAUUGAUCAUUGAUGCCAAUCUGCGCAACUUUUGUCGGCGACUGUCACCCGUUUUCGCGCUGGAGCUGUUGGCCUUCUCUAUCUCAAUUUUUGGCGUCUCCUUGAUUCUCCGCCAUUCUGUCAGGAAGCUAGGCAAGAUCUUUGGAUGUAGCUUCAAAGUGCGACACCUUCAGCCAAUAUAAAAUGCAUUUUCUUCUGCCGCUCGUUUUGCCUGGCUCCUGUGGCCUGAGGUCCGCCGUCCUUUUUCCACGGUCAACUCAAACAUGGCGUGUGUUUAUGUUAGAAAUGAACGUUGCGAAAAGCUUUAGCGACUCGAAUUUUUAUUUGUUAUCAUGAAGAUAACAUACGCGUUAAGGUACGUGGUCGAACGAUUUUCUUCCCACUUGCCCCUUGCGGCGCAUAGCGUUACUUCGGAACCGGGGACCUGCGACAAUGGACGAACGAGCUUUGUUUGUGUGGCCGGAAGUCCCCGAAAGCAGUCUAAAUGGCGUCGUUCAAUUCGAAGUUCGGGUCCUCGAAUCCCGACGG